Molecule: ribosomal RNA, 468 nt
Filed under: uncultured bacterium
Lineage: Bacteria
Description: partial 16S ribosomal RNA
Rfam family: Bacterial small subunit ribosomal RNA
Source: RNAcentral
GACGAACGCUGGCGGCGUGCUUAACACAUGCAAGUCGAACGGAAAGGCCCUGCUUUUGUGGGGUGCUCGAGUGGCGAACGGGUGAGUAACACGUGAGUAACCUGCCCUUGACUUUGGGAUAACUUCAGGAAACUGGGGCUAAUACCGGAUAGGAGCUCCUGCUGCAUGGUGGGGGUUGGAAAGUUUCGGCGGUUGGGGAUGGACUCGCGGCUUAUCAGCUUGUUGGUGGGGUAGUGGCUUACCAAGGCGUUGACGGGUAGCCGGCCUGAGAGGGUGACCGGCCACAUUGGGACUGAGAUACGGCCCAGACUCCUACGGGAGGCAGCAGUGGGGAAUAUUGCACAAUGGGCGGAAGCCUGAUGCAGCGACGCCGCGUGCGGGAUGACGGCCUUCGGGUUGUAAACCGCUUUCGGCUGUGACGAAGCGUGAGUGACGGUAAUGGGUAAAGAAGCACCGGCUAACUACGUG